UCCUGAGAGACGGCUCACACUUCCAAGGAAGGCAGCAGGCGCGCAAAUUGCCCUAAUCCCAUCUCGGGGAGGCAGUGACAAUAAAUAACUAAGACUUUGCCUUUGGCAAAGCCUAUAGGAGUGAGUACAAUGUAAAUACCUUAACGAGGAGCAACUGGUGGGCAAGUCUGGUGCCAGCAGCCGCGGUAAUUCCAGCACCAGUAGCGUAUGCUAAAGUUGUUGCAGUUGAAAAGCUCGUAGCUGAAGUUUGGGGUUGGAUGGCAGGGUCUGCUCUGUUUUGAGUGUGUACCAGCUAUUUCCUUCUCUUCCUUCCGGAUUUGCUUCUCCCGGCCUUCGCGGGCCGGGGUUACUAUGGGGCUCCGGAUCUUUCACUGUGAAAAAAUUAGAGUGUUCAAAGCAGGCCACUUUUAUGCCUUGAAUAUUUCAGCAUGGGAUGAUGAAACAGGUCUUUGCGUCUAUUUUCAGUUGGUUUCUAGAAGGCGAAGAAAUGAUUAAUGGGAACAGUUAGGGGAAUUUGUAUUUUAUAGUCAGAGGUGAAAUUCUUGGAUUUAUGAAAGACAAACUUCUGCGAAAGCAUUUUCCAGAGAUGCUUCCGUCAGUCAAGAACUAAAGUUGGGGGAUCGAAGAUGAUCAGAUACCGUCGUAGUCUCAACCAUAAACUAUGCCGACCAGGGAUUCGGGGCACGUUAAUCAGACGACUCUCCGAGCACCUUGCGAGAAAUCAUUGAGUCUUUGGGUUCUGGGGGGAGUAUGGUCGCAAGGCUGAAACUUAAAGAAAUUGACGGAAGGGCACACCAAGAGUGGAGCCUGCGGCUUAAUUUGACCCAACGCGGGGAAUUUUACCAAGUCCGGACAGAAAAAGGAUUGACAGAUUAAAGCUCUUUCUUGAUUUUUUGGGUGGUGGUGCAUGGCCGUUUGUAGUUGGUGGAGUGAUUUGUCUGCUUAAUUGCGUUAACGAACGAGACCUCAGCCUGCUAAAUAGUUGUGCGAACCUUCUGAAUGCGGGGUGAAGGGGACGGAGGCAGUAGCCGCUUUCGGGUGGCUGCACCUCCCCCCUGGAUCCUCUGAUGUGUUCGCAAUGGGCCGCUUUUCAGGUCCGACAUACUUCUUAGAGGGACUACCGGUAUCGAGCCGGGGGAAGUUUGAGGCAACAACAGGUCUGUGAUGCCCUUAGAUGUCUUGGGCGGCACGCGCGCUACAAUGGUCAGUUCAACGAGUAAUUCUCCUUCUGCGGUAGCAGUGGGUAAUCUUUUGAACGCUGAUCGUGUUGGGGAUAGAUCUUUGCAAUUUUGGAUCUUCAACGAGGAAUUCUUAGUAAAUGCAAUUCAUCAUAUUGCGUUGACUUCGUCCCUGCCCUUUGUACACACCGCCCGUCGCUCCAACCGAUGUAGGAUCCGGUGAAAUCUC
This 1407-nucleotide ribosomal RNA is filed under the name metagenome. Its description in RNAcentral is "SSU rRNA". It matches the Rfam family "Eukaryotic small subunit ribosomal RNA", at positions 394 to 1710 of the family's 1831-position model. The record is from RNAcentral.